AAUGCCGGAUGCUCCAGUUGAUCGCAUGGUCUUCUGGGAAAGCUUUCGCGGUAUGGGAUGGGGUCGCGUCCUAUCAGCUUGACGGCGGGGUAACGGCCCACCGUGGCUUCGACGGGUAGCCGGCCUGAGAGGGCGACCGGCCACAUUGGGACUGAGAUACGGCCCAGACUCCUACGGGAGGCAGCAGUGGGGAAUAUUGCACAAUGGGCGCAAGCCUGAUGCAGCGACGCCGCGUGAGGGAUGGAGGCCUUCGGGUUGUAAACCUCUUUUAUCGGGGAGCAAGCGUGAGUGAGUUUACCCGUUGAAUAAGCACCGGCUAACUACGUGCCAGCAGCCGCGGUAAUACGUAGGGUGCAAGCGUUAUCCGGAAUUAUUGGGCGUAAAGGGCUCGUAGGCGGUUCGUCGCGUCCGGUGUGAAAGUCCAUCGCUUAACGGUGGAUCCGCGCCGGGUACGGGCGGGCUUGAGUGCGGUAGGGGAGACUGGAAUUCCCGGUGUAACGGUGGAAUGUGUAGAUA
RNAcentral lists this ribosomal RNA (516 nucleotides) under Bifidobacterium longum subsp. suillum. Its description in RNAcentral is "bacterial SSU rRNA". It matches the Rfam family "Bacterial small subunit ribosomal RNA", at positions 165 to 696 of the family's 1533-position model. Lineage: Bacteria; Bacillati; Actinomycetota; Actinomycetes; Bifidobacteriales; Bifidobacteriaceae. The record is from RNAcentral.